UAGGGAAUAUUGGACAAUGGGGGCAACCCUGAUCCAGCCAUGCCGCGUGUGUGAAGAAGGCCCUCGGGUUGUAAAGCACUUUCAGUAGGGAGGAAGGCUCGGCUGCUAAUAUCAGCCGGGAUUGACGUUACCUACAGAAGCAGCACCGGCUAACUCCGUGCCAGCAGCCGCGGUAAUACGGAGGGUGCAAGCGUUAAUCGGAAUUACUGGGCGUAAAGCGCGCGUAGGCGGUUUGGUAAGUCGGAUGUGAAAGCCCUGGGCUCAACCUGGGAACUGCAUCCGAUACUGCCAGGCUAGAGUACGGUAGAGGGGGGUAGAAUUCCACGUGUAGCGGUGAAAUGCGUAGAGAUGUGGAGGAAUACCAGUGGCGAAGGCGGCCCCCUGGAUCGAUACUGACGCUGAGGUGCGAAAGCGUGGGGAGCAAACAGG
Molecule: ribosomal RNA, 429 nt
Filed under: uncultured bacterium
Lineage: Bacteria
Description: bacterial SSU rRNA
Rfam family: Bacterial small subunit ribosomal RNA
Source: RNAcentral